UUCUCUUGCAUCAGCACUGAGAUCAAACCCCUCACACAUGAGAGAUCUGUGGCUGGAUGGGAGUAAAGCAGGAGACUCAGGAGUGAAGCAUCUUUCUUCUCUUCUGGAGGAUCCCAUCUGUAAACUGGAGUCACUAAGCCUGUCAAACUGCAGUAUUACAGAUGAAGGCUUCAGAUCUUUAGCAUCAGCACUGAGAUCAAACCCAUCAGCCCUCAGAGAGCUUUGGCUGGAUGGGAAUCAUACUGGACGCUCAGCACUGCAGCUGUUCUCUGAACUUCAGGAAGAUCCAAACUCUAAACAUAUCAACAUAAAGAUCUAGACUUUCAUGAAUCCAUUCACAUUUUAUUCCACAUUAAAUAUUCCUCUACAUUGUGUAUAAAACAAAUAAUGACAUCUGAUGUAAAAAUGCUUUCUCUUUAGUUACUGGAAUAAUUAGUGACAUGUUGAAGUCACUGCAUAUAUGAUAUAUAGUAGUUGUCCAACAGAUCCUUUCCACUGUACCUGUCUUUGUUUAGGAAGAAAUGAUGUUACUCCUAUCUCUGUACUCCACUGGACUGUAAAUAUAUUUCCCUCUCCCUUGUA
Clupea harengus (Atlantic herring) is the source of this 582-nucleotide long non-coding RNA. RefSeq lists it as uncharacterized. NCBI's taxonomy places the organism in Eukaryota, Metazoa, Chordata, Actinopteri, Clupeiformes, Clupeidae. The transcript is spliced from 2 exons. The record is from RefSeq and is a predicted model, not a curated record.